ACGCGGGAAAUCUUACCGGGUCCGGACACACUGAGGAUUGACAGGUAACGUUAUACACACAUAUAUAUUUACUCUCGGGUAUUUGUACUUCGCUGUGUAUAUAUAAAAUAUGCUAGUCCUUUCAUGAUUAUGUGAUAGGUGGUGCAUGGCCGUUCUUAGUUCGUGGAGUGAUCUGUCUGCUUAAUUGCGUUUCACUAAGGAUCUAUAUUCAUAUUACGCAUAGCAUUUUGACCCCUUUAUGCUUCGGUAUAAAGCUGCGCGUCAAACCUUGCUAUCUGCGUAUAUUAGAUCCUGAAAGCAACGAACGUGACCGCAACCUCUUGUUGCCUUUAACUAGGUUUUGCUUACGUAUAGCUUCGGCUUUACGCUUUGCAUCUAAAAAGGCUGAUUUUCUAAACUAGAGGGACCGCUGUUACUUUCUUAAACCAGAGGAAGGUUGCGGCAAUAACAGGUCUGUGAUGCCCUUUAGAUGUUCCGGGCCGCACACGUGCUACAAUGAUUAUUGCAGUGAGCAUCUCAUAUAUUGAUUUUAUUCACACACCGCUUGCGCGUGGCUUAUGCACUUUACACUUCGGUGUAUUUUGCGAAUUCGCUUUCUGCGCGCGGUACAGCCUGCUUCGACAGUCUAGUGGGUAAUCAAUUAGAAGUAAUGAUUUCCAUAUAGCGCACACUAUAUACACACGUCUUAUGUCCUUGAUGAACUUGUUUCAACAUGUGUACGUAUA
RNAcentral lists this ribosomal RNA (725 nucleotides) under Nonionella sp. T1. Its description in RNAcentral is "SSU rRNA". The stretch from base 1 to 494 matches the Rfam family "Eukaryotic small subunit ribosomal RNA", at positions 1203 to 1501 of the family's 1831-position model. The record is from RNAcentral. Lineage: Eukaryota; Foraminifera; Rotaliida; Nonionidae.